UUGCGGUUAAAAAGCUCGUAGUUGGAUCUCGGCGGGCAGGGGGUGGUUCGCUCUUCAGCGCUACUGCCCCGCUUUGCCCGUGUGAUUGGCGGAGGUUUCGGGGUGCUCUUCGUUGAGUGACUCGGAGCGCCGUCAGGUUUACUUUGAAAAAAUUAGAGUGCUCAAAGCAGGCUAUUACGCUUGAAUAUUCGUGCAUGGAAUAAUAGAAUAGGAAGUUGUUUCUAUUUUGUUGGUUUUCGGAAAUCGACUUAAUGAUUAAUAGGGACAGUCGGGGGCAUUUGUAUUCAAACGACAGAGGUGAAAUUCUUGGACCGUUUGAAGACAAACUACUGCGAAAGCAUUUGCCAAGAAUGUUUUCAUUAAUCAAGAAUGAAAGUUAGAGGUUCGAAGGCGAUUAGAUACCGCCCUAGUUCUAACCAUAAACGAUGCCAGCUAGCGAUCUGAGGACGUUUUUUUUGUAGACUCCUCAGGAAGCUUCCGGGAAACCAAAGCGUGUGGGUCCCGGGGGAAGUAUGGUUGCAAAGCUGAAACUUAA
Molecule: ribosomal RNA, 535 nt
Filed under: uncultured marine eukaryote
Lineage: Eukaryota
Description: bacterial SSU rRNA
Rfam family: Eukaryotic small subunit ribosomal RNA
Source: RNAcentral